Long non-coding RNA from Triticum aestivum (bread wheat), 1289 nucleotides. RefSeq lists it as uncharacterized. Lineage: Eukaryota; Viridiplantae; Streptophyta; Magnoliopsida; Poales; Poaceae. The record is from RefSeq and is a predicted model, not a curated record. The transcript has 3 exons.
CGCCCCCAAUCCCCGUAACCUCUUCCUCCCACUUGUCUCUCCCGUCUCCCUGUUCUUCCGAUCUGAAUCACAUGCACGUCGUUCUCCAUCGAGCCGUAGAUGAUGCCACCUCCCCGCCGUUCUCAGCAGAGUCUUCGUUGACCUUCAACAACCGAGCACAAGGAGGACGUGAGGCUCACUAGCGGCAUGGCGAAGGUUGCUGUGGCAAGAUAUCUGGAGGGCGGUUCUUCAUCGCAAUGAGGAAUGACCCUCCACUCUGUUCGAAAUCUUCCCGCGCCUCUCCUCAUCUCCCCGGCUAGCUUAUGACUCAUUUUUCGUCUUGAUCUGACAGUUCAGAUUUAUAUGCUUCCAACUAAUAUGAGUUAGGUUGAGAUAAAAAAAUAUGCAUCAUAGUACUGUUGCUAAUUCCAAAUUACAGUUUUAUGCUUCUUCUGUUUAGAUAGUUGUUUCCAGCUAGACUUCUUCUUCUUUUGCAUUUUUGUUUUUGUUAUACUCAGCGCCUUUGAAAUGUAAAUAUUGUCCAUCUUCCAUCAGGUGCUCUUAUACCUACUUCUGUAAUAAUAUUUCCUCCCCUGCCAUGCUUCCUAAUUAUAAUACAUGUUCUUCUUUGGUCUAGAUAAUUUUACUCCAUUUAUGUUGUGUAUAGAUCAAACUGUCUCUUAUUUUCUGAUAUGUAAUUCCGUUGUACAGAUGUAUUGCGCCACACGAUGCUAAUCAUGCAUCGUUAGUUUCCUGACCGACCGCCUGAAGACAUCGCUUGUGCUUAACUCCACCACCAGCUCACUGACGAGCUCGUAGCCUCGGUGCUUAACUCCACCAGGAUCGGGUCCAGCUCUACCUGCAGUUUUGGCCUCUAAUCCACCUUGCUGGAAUGCUGUCUCGGUUUGGGAAUGAGGCCAGCAGGGAUAGGCUCUCACGCCAUGGUGCAGGGUGACUUACUAGGCGAUGUUGUAUCACAACAUCACAUACACAGGAAGCAUAGAAGAAGGUAGUAAGAUGCAGCAUGCCUUUCCACAAGGUCAUGGUGCGAGAGAUAAGGUCUUCGUACUCGCUUGUAGUUCAUGACACUGGCGUAGAUGGUGCGGUGCUUCACGAUCACCAUGGAAGCAAAUCCAAGAGCUAUGGAGAAGAACUCUGAUAUACGUGAAAAUAGUAUGAUGAUGAUUUAGAAGCAAAAUGUAUAUCUUUGGGAGUGGGGGUCUGCAUUGUGCCCAGGCGAUGCAAAACCUGAGCAUAUGCGUCUUUUUUGUUGUAUGGAAGCAAAUCCUCGUGUUUUUAGAUGCAAGUUC